GGUGAAAGACACCAGGGUACUUGUAGCAACUGAGCAACCCAGGAUGUUGGAGAGGCUUCAGGAAGCAAAUGUUCUCUUAGAUGAUAUCCAGAAGGGGCUGAAUACUUAUUUGGAGAAGAAAAGAUUAUUUUUCUCACGGUAAAUUGAUUAACAGGUUCAAC
Chelonoidis abingdonii (Abingdon island giant tortoise) is the source of this 161-nucleotide unclassified non-coding RNA. The record is from Ensembl. Lineage: Eukaryota; Metazoa; Chordata; Testudines; Testudinidae.